Molecule: long non-coding RNA, 279 nt
Filed under: Cyanistes caeruleus (blue tit)
Lineage: Eukaryota; Metazoa; Chordata; Aves; Passeriformes; Paridae
Description: lncRNA (ENSCCEG00000000195.1)
Source: RNAcentral
AGUGACAUUACAGCAUAACAGAAAAAAAUUCUGUCUGUUCCAGAGUCACUCUGGAGCUUUUACAGCAAAAGGCAUGGCAAACCUGUGGAGCUGUCUGUGAAGGUGACAGGUGAAGCACCAUCCUAGCACUACCUCCUGGCCCUGGUGCAGCUAACUUCUGAGAGCAAAGCAGGAACAAGUCUGCUGGUCAGCAACACUAUCUCAUUUGGACAUUAUUUCUAGUGACAAAUAUAGAUUUUGAGCACAGAUUCAUCAGUCAUGGAGAACCACCUUUCCAAG